ACUCUUGCCCAAUGGUUGUAAUAGAAAGUAUUUGAUAAAUAAGUUAAAUAUAUAAUAUCAAUUAAAUGGCGGUUCUAACUCUGAGAAUCCUAAGGUAGCGCAAUCAAUAUCCAAUUAAUUGUUGGAAAGUAUGAAAAGAGUAACAAUCUGUGAACUGUCUCAACGAUAGACUCAGUGAAUUUGAAGUCGUAGUGCAGAUGCUACGUAGGUUCCGAAAGACAAGAAGACCCAGUUGAGCUUUAAUGUUAAGUUUCGUCGAUCGUUUAUCGCCAAUGUGUAGAUUAGCCGAUAGCCGUUAAUAUUCUCCUUGCGCCAGCGAGUAAGAAGAGGUAAACAAGUGAAAUAUCGGUCUUUGGU
RNAcentral lists this ribosomal RNA (357 nucleotides) under Ochromonas sp. CCMP1393. RNAcentral's name for it is "partial Bacterial large subunit ribosomal RNA". It matches the Rfam family "Bacterial large subunit ribosomal RNA", at positions 1855 to 2211 of the family's 2925-position model. Lineage: Eukaryota; Chrysophyceae; Chromulinales; Chromulinaceae. The record is from RNAcentral.